This 253-nucleotide ribosomal RNA is filed under the name uncultured bacterium. RNAcentral's name for it is "partial 16S ribosomal RNA". It matches the Rfam family "Bacterial small subunit ribosomal RNA", at positions 524 to 776 of the family's 1533-position model. The record is from RNAcentral.
UACGUAGGGUGCAAGCGUUGUCCGGAAUUAUUGGGCGUAAAGAGCUCGUAGGCGGUUUGUCGCGUCUGCUGUGAAAACUCGGGGCUUAACUCCGGGCCUGCAGUGGGUACGGGCAGACUAGAGUGCGGUAGGGGAGACUGGAAUUCCUGGUGUAGCGGUGAAAUGCGCAGAUAUCAGGAGGAACACCGGUGGCGAAGGCGGGUCUCUGGGCCGGAACUGACGCUGAGGAGCGAAAGCGUGGGGAGCGAACAGG